Long non-coding RNA from Mya arenaria, 2930 nucleotides. RefSeq lists it as uncharacterized. Lineage: Eukaryota; Metazoa; Mollusca; Bivalvia; Myida; Myidae. The transcript is spliced from 3 exons. The record is from RefSeq and is a predicted model, not a curated record.
UGCCCUGUUUGCUUUCUACUUGACCAUUUACAUGAUGCCAAGUGACCAUGAACAAACAUAUGCUAGUUUGGGGAAUGUGGAAGCUAAAAUAAUAAAUAAACAAGUUGUGUAUGAUCACAAAGACACUGUUUAAACAGAAAAAAGCUCUGCUUUGUUACCUACAUUUCACAACAGUAUACAAGAGUCUUCGCAAGGGGCCCAAAUGCAUGUUAGGCGACUGUAAAUUAAAUGCUAAAUUUUCAUCCCCGCUCGCCCCCACUCUUUUCUGAUUUUCCUUAGAUUUUAUUAACUCAAAUAAAAAUGUUGAACUAUAGUCUGUAUUUGCCAAUAGGUCCAGUACUAUCCGGGAAUAGCUCUUAUGUAAACCUUCAGUGUCAAUGUGGUAGGAUUGUGUUCAUGGUUCAUCUAAAACAUAUAAACCUUGCGCAAUAAGAAAGAGCACAAACACAGUGAAACAGUCAUCGAAGAAAAAUAAAAAAUAAAUGUCGCUCCCUGCCUCCAUUUAACAAAAAAAAUUGGAUGGAAAUUUGGCAAUGAACUUAUAUUGGCCUUACCAUUUAAAACACCCUUUAUGGCAGCUGACUAUGGGUGAAGUGAUUUAUUAUGUAACAGAUGACACAGGCACCAUAUAGGACGGUCCACACUGUCCAAUAUUAAAGAGUUAGGGGGCCGUUUCAUUAAAGGUUGUAAGUACCGAUAUCGUAACUUUUUAUCGCAACUUUGAGUUUUCCUCGUAAAUGCGUUUCAUUAAAGUUGUCGUAGCUAAAAUAUCGUAACUUUCGUGCGUAACUUUACGCGUGCUAUGAAGUGCUCGUAACGUUGACGUAGCGUUCGUAAACAUGGCUGCCAUAUACGGCAUCCUUUACGGCCAGCGGAGAAAUCCGGCUGAACGACUGUUUACCCACGUUUUACCAUGGUCGGGUUGCGGGACCAAGAAGUCAUCAGUCGAUAUCGACUGUCAAGGCCCAUGAUAAAUGAUUUGGUCCAUUUAAUAAGAGCGGACAUCGACCCAAAGACCAACCGAGGAAUGGGCAUAGAUGCAGAAACGAAGGUAUGACCGUAUGGAAAAUAUUUAGUACUUAAUCAAAUAUAUUGUUCAGAGAUCCGCACGGGACGCACCUGUUGUUAAGGUUUUUGCUUUGAAAAUAUUUCCGUUAUAUCUUUGGGUUAAUACAGUUACUAGUUACCCAGCUGUAUCCGGUUGUCAAGUUUUGAGAAGAAACGCAGCUAAGGAGCAGCCGAAUUAAUGUUUUAUUUCUAAAGCGUGUACAUAAUUCAUCAUUUGUAUUUGAUUUGACAAGUGAUGAAGUGUGUAGGACGACAAUCUUCAAUAGAUACCAACAAGGAUUAUACUGUUAACACUUAGAAAUUAGUGUUUCGGAUAUGGAUAACAAUUCGGACAUUAUGAUGAUCUUUCUGCUGAAUCCGUAUGUAGUUAAAUCAAAUUAAUUCAGCCGAUACAGAAGCGUUUGUGUGUAUGUGACACCAACAUAAUUGAUCAUUCAGCGCAACCCUUUAAGUGGGUCUUCCUCACAGUACCCUUUCAAAUGAGUAUCUAUUUUAAAUGUAUCCUUAAAUAAUUACAAAUGAUAUGCUGAUGACUGGCGUCCACUAUUAACACAUAAAUUGUCAAUAUCGUUCAUUUUGUGUCAAUACAGGUCUUACUGACAUUGAGGUACCUGGCUUAAGGAGACUUUUUUUCUGAAGUUGGAGAUAUCCAUGGUGUGUCCAAGUCGUCAAUGUCCAGACACUUGCAUGACGUGGUGCUGGCGAUUAACAACAGGGUUGAUAACAUAAGAUUCCCAGAAAUAGAUGUAGAAAGAAGGAGCACAGCAACAGCAUUUUACAGGCUUAGCCGAAUCCCUAGGGUGCUUGGUGCUAUUGAUUGCACGUUGAUACCAAUUACUACCCCAACUACCCACGAGGCAUCCUAUGUGUGUCGGAAGGGUUACCACGCCUUAAAUGUUCAAGCAGUGGUGGACACUAAGUUGAGUUUCAUUGAUGCUGUGGCGCGGUGGCCUGGCGCAACCAAUGAUGCUUAUCGUGCUACCGAGAAUCAAGACGCACGAAGUUUUAACCGUUUAUUCAUACGUAUGAUGAUGAUGUUGGUAAAAAGCUGAAAGUAUACAAAACACAUGUAUAAGACUAGUUAUUACAUGUUAAGAUGUUUGGUCCAGAAUAUGUUUGAGGGUAUAAGCUUUGUUUAAAAACACCGAAUACGUUCUGGGAAUCUUACUAAACCAGCAUACUCCGGAGGAAUGUUCCUCGUAAAAAAACUAAUGGUUGCCAAAUAAACAACAAAUCACUUAAAGCAAACCGCUCAACCAUAAGCUAGACCAACAGAUCAAAAUAAGUCUUCCACAUUACUAUUCACUAAAUGUAUAUAAAAACUAGUUACAUUGUAAUAAGAUGGUGCAUCUUAACUUAAAUUGCAAAAAUGUAACAACCUUAAUAUAACCAAGAGUACGAGUAUGAAGCUAUUGGUUACGAAUAACAUAUGACAUUCGUUAAAAUACUACUUAAAGUUUGUAAACAAGACAAAAACUAGAAGAUAUCAAUCUAUACAAGUUCCAUACUUAUGGCAAUAUAAGAAACUUACACUAUGAGGGGCUCAAGGACUAGAUAUUUGGUUUAGAUGUGCGGAGCGCACACAGCAUACGUUGGAACAACGACGUAACCCCGUCAGAACGUGAAAAAAUACCAAAGUCAAAUUAACAACUAACGACGUCUAAACACAUAAAAAAUACAUAACAAUUUCAAAAACCAUCGAACUAUAUGCAAGUUCCAAAACACUCCCCGUCUGGUAUGCCUAUGCCACUUUUAAUUACAUUUAAAAAAAUCAUCAAAAGAAAAAUGGUCUCAAGUCGCUUUAACCAAGUUCCACAAAAUUGUAUUAUUGAAUGUUUAGAAAUUAUCAGUACAUGUUACAA